RNAcentral lists this transfer RNA (73 nucleotides) under Trichonephila clavipes. It matches the Rfam family "tRNA". From Rfam's summary of the family: Transfer RNA (tRNA) molecules are approximately 80 nucleotides in length. The record is from Rfam by way of RNAcentral. Lineage: Eukaryota; Metazoa; Arthropoda; Arachnida; Araneae; Nephilidae.
GUCCCUGUAGCGCAAUGAAUAGCGCGUUGGACUUCUAAGCCAAAGAUCAUGGGUUCGAAUCCCAUCUGGGAUG